AGUGAACGCUGGCGGUAGGCCUAACACAUGCAAGUCGAACGGCAGCACAGUAAGAGCUUGCUCUUACGGGUGGCGAGUGGCGGACGGGUGAGGAAUACAUCUGAAUCUACUUUUUCGUGGGGGAUAACGUAGGGAAACUUACGCUAAUACCGCAUACGACCUACGGGUGAAAGCAGGGGAUCUUCGGACCUUGCGCGAUUGAAUGAGCCGAUGUCGGAUUAGCUAGUUGGCGGGUAAAGGCCCACCAAGGCGACGAUCCGUAGCUGGUCUGAGAGGAUGAUCAGCCACACUGGAACUGAGACACGGUCCAGACUCCUACGGGAGGCAGCAGUGGGGAAUAUUGGACAAUGGGCGCAAGCCUGAUCCAGCCAUACCGCGUGGGUGAAGAAGGCCUUCGGGUUGUAAAGCCCUUUUGUUGGGAAAGAAAAGCAGCAGGUUAAUACCCCGCUGUUCUGACGGUACCCAAAGAAUAAGCACCGGCUAACUUCGUG
Molecule: ribosomal RNA, 491 nt
Filed under: uncultured bacterium
Lineage: Bacteria
Description: partial 16S ribosomal RNA
Rfam family: Bacterial small subunit ribosomal RNA
Source: RNAcentral